GCAAGUUAAAGACAGCUGCUGGUUUUUAUUAACUAAGGAAACUCCGCCCAUCAUACAAGACUAUGGCGUUGAAAAACGUAUGCUGAGAAGCAUGACACUGGAGCAGAAACGAUACGUCUUUUAAUGGCAGACUAUGAUAUUUAAUUGAGGACAUUAAAAGAACAGGUGAAACGGCCAUUCCAUAGGAUGCAAGAGCAAAGUUGCCGAUAAUCUCUUGAGUAGGCAAGGUAGCACGCUAAGAUGAAUGCUGUAAAACAGAAGGUGGGUUACUCUUAACAGGC
RNAcentral lists this RNase P RNA (281 nucleotides) under Methanobrevibacter gottschalkii. RNAcentral describes it as "Archaeal RNase P". It matches the Rfam family "Archaeal RNase P". Rfam says of the family: Ribonuclease P (RNase P) is a ubiquitous endoribonuclease, found in archaea, bacteria and eukarya as well as chloroplasts and mitochondria. Its best characterised activity is the generation of mature 5'-ends of tRNAs by cleaving the 5'-leader elements of precursor-tRNAs. Lineage: Archaea; Methanobacteriati; Methanobacteriota; Methanobacteria; Methanobacteriales; Methanobacteriaceae. The record is from RNAcentral.